Molecule: ribosomal RNA, 538 nt
Filed under: uncultured bacterium
Lineage: Bacteria
Description: bacterial SSU rRNA
Rfam family: Bacterial small subunit ribosomal RNA
Source: RNAcentral
CCUACGGGAGGCAGCAGGGGGGAAGUAUUGCACAAUGGGCGAAAGCCUGAUGCAGCGACGCCGCGUGAGGGAUGACGGCCUUCGGGUUGUAAACCUCUUUCAGCAGGGAGGAAGCGAAAGUGACGGUACCUGCAGAAGAAGCGCCGGCUAACUACGUGCCAGCAGCCGCGGUAAUACGUAGGGCGCAAGCGUUGUCCGGAAUUAUUGGGCGUAAAGAGCUCGUAGGCGGCUUGUCACGUCGGAUGUGAAAGCCCGAGGCUUAACCUCGGGUCUGCAUUCGAUACGGGCUAGCUAGAGUGUGGUAGGGGAGAUCGGAAUUCCUGGUGUAGCGGUGAAAUGCGCAGAUAUCAGGAGGAACACCGGUGGCGAAAGGCGGAUCUCUGGGCCAUUACUGACGCUGAGGAGCGAAAGCGUGGGGAGCGAACAGGAUUAGAUACCCUGGUAGUCCACGCCGUAAACGUUGGGAACUAGGUGUUGGCGACAUUCCACGUCGUCGGUGCCGCAGCUAACGCAUUAAGUCCCGCUGGGGNGCGCGCAG